CUGCUGAGAUGCGUAAAGAAAUCUUAGCUGGAAUGACUUCUCAGAAUCUUGGUUUUCAAAGUGAUGGAUUAGGAGAUCCCAAGCCACGCAUAAAGGGUGCUCGUCGCAGAUGGAACAACGGUGAGAGCACACCUGGACAGGGGAGGGGCAGGAAUUUUGAUUCCUGACACAGGUUUCCUCGUUGAAUGUUGCUGUUGUAGAAGAAUGCAACUGAGUUUUAUAAGCAGAUCUUGUUCUUGACAUCCUUGCUGAACGAAAGUGACCGGCCCUCCCUAAGACUCAGUGUCCUUACCUCUGAAAUAGAGCUGUCAAUCACAUCUGCCUCACAGGCUUGUUCUGAGGAUGAAGUGAGAAAAUGCCCACAAGGUGCUGGUUGCAGCAGCUGGUGCAUAGAGCUUAAAAAGGAUGCAGUCCCAAAACAUAGAAGGAUUUACUCCAGAUCCAAGCAGUGAGUCAGGAACAGAAAGCCUGAUGCCCUCACCUGGAACUCUCCCUCCUCCCUGGAUGAGGACCUUCCCCAGAAUUGCAGGGCACCCACACAAGACCAAGCAAGUUCAGAGAAAAGUGAAACCUGACUUUAGAGCCUCUCGGAUGUUCACUACACCUCGUCGAACCUGUUUGGUUCACACAGCUCCAGCUACCGUCUACUCCCUGCAACUGGCCUGCUGCCAAUGCCCCAGAUCUCUUGUGGAGCUGCCGGAAGAGACAGCCUGCCACAGAAGAAAGCAGCCCUCCUCUUUCAUGGCCUCCCACAUCUUGAAACAAACAAAAGCAAACAAAACAAAAGCUUGAGUCCCAGCCUGAUUCACCAGGUUUGGUUCCCAAUUGUUGAAAUUCCCUUCCCAGGGCUCUCAGAACCAGGGUUGGCUGGAGGGGUGAAAGAGGCUGGCCCUGAGUCCAGUAAUAGGACACUAAAGGGGAGCUAAAAGCUGGGACCUGGGGUGAAGAUGGGGUCUUCCAAGCUGGGAGGCAGACACCAGGCCAGAACAACCGGCCUGCCCCAGCUCAGGCCUCUUAACCCAUGCAGGGCAAGAGUACAAACAGAGGCCACGGACCCCAUGCCACAGUAUUUAAAGUUAUAAAUCAAGCUAACAUAACGUGAAAUCAAAUGUGUUCUAUCCUCCUAGCUUGACAAAUACUUUCAUAACGAGAUGGAAUGCCAGGUUCAGAUUUAGAAUUUUCACACUCCUUAAAGUUCCAAGU
Nomascus leucogenys (northern white-cheeked gibbon) is the source of this 1203-nucleotide long non-coding RNA. RefSeq lists it as uncharacterized. Lineage: Eukaryota; Metazoa; Chordata; Mammalia; Primates; Hylobatidae. The record is from RefSeq and is a predicted model, not a curated record. The transcript has 7 exons.